This 77-nucleotide transfer RNA is filed under the name Candidatus Omnitrophota bacterium. RNAcentral describes it as "tRNA-Arg". It matches the Rfam family "tRNA". From Rfam's summary of the family: Transfer RNA (tRNA) molecules are approximately 80 nucleotides in length. Their secondary structure includes four short double-helical elements and three loops (D, anti-codon, and T loops). The record is from RNAcentral. Lineage: Bacteria; Pseudomonadati; Candidatus Omnitrophota. RNAcentral also lists the same sequence under 2 other names.
GAUGACGUGCCUGAGUCGGAGAAAGGCUUGGAUUUCUAAUCCAAUGUUUGAGAGUUCGAAUCUCUCCGUCAUCGCCA